RNAcentral lists this ribosomal RNA (244 nucleotides) under uncultured Ochrobactrum sp. Its description in RNAcentral is "partial 16S ribosomal RNA". It matches the Rfam family "Bacterial small subunit ribosomal RNA", at positions 94 to 354 of the family's 1533-position model. The record is from RNAcentral. Lineage: Bacteria; Pseudomonadati; Pseudomonadota; Alphaproteobacteria; Hyphomicrobiales; Brucellaceae.
AGCGGCAGACGGGUGAGUAACGCGUGGGAACGUACCUUUUGCUACGGAAUAACUCAGGGAAACUUGUGCUAAUACCGUAUGUGCCCUUCGGGGAAAGAUUUAUCGGCAAAGGAUCGGCCCGCGUUGGAUUAGCUAGUUGGUGAGGUAAAGGCUCACCAAGGCGACGAUCCAUAGCUGGUCUGAGAGGAUGAUCAGCCACACUGGGACUGAGACACGGCCCAGACUCCUACGGGAGGCAGCAGGC